This is an RNA transcript of Sitodiplosis mosellana (orange wheat blossom midge), 896 nucleotides long. RefSeq lists it as uncharacterized. The transcript has 3 exons. NCBI's taxonomy places the organism in Eukaryota, Metazoa, Arthropoda, Insecta, Diptera, Cecidomyiidae. The record is from RefSeq and is a predicted model, not a curated record.
AAGGUGCGAAAUGCCAAAGAAACGCGAUGGACCAAAAAUUUCGUCGAAAUGGAGCGCGCAGACAGAGAAAAUCGUGAGCUGUAUCCAGUGAUGCCAUCGCCAAAAGGGUUACACUGGCUGAACUAGAUAAAGCUCCGAGUCAAGAUGAUGAAACAUGGAAUCUGCGCUUACUCGACAGCCAAAUACACUCGCCGUUGCGUACCCGACGCCAAAACUUUGCUGCCAACAAAAAUUGUGCCAAAGUUGGGCAAGACGGAUCUAUCGAUAUUCCGACAGUUGCAACGCGCCAUGAACGGAGAAGCAUUGGAAGAAAACGAGCGUUUAUUCCCAAAAGUAAAAAGUUACUAUAAAAACUGGGAAUUAAACCAUGAAUGCUCUGUGAUUUGGCAUCGUGACGUCGUGGCUGCUAAGAACAUUCUACUGAAAGGACUAUGGACAUUACUGGGACUUCCGAUACCAGAGGCGAUCAAUAGGUAUUGGCGCGAAGCUGUUGAAGCAGCCGCUAUUGUUGCCACUGCUGCUGUUGCCAUCGUGGAUAAUGACGUAGAAAUGUUCGAGUACGAACAGCAGCCAGCUGAUCAUGCUGUCUAAUCAGCACAACGCAAACAAAAAAAAAAAAACAAAUGUAACAUUAGUUAUGGCUAUCCCGAUCAUGUGGGAUAGUUGCGUAGCAGCAAGUUGACUCCCCAUUUGGUUGAUGUUAACUGCGCAGGAGUACUUUAGUGGGUGUUUUUAGGAAAACACAUGUAUACAUACCGCAAAGCGACUUGCGUUGGAGAUGGACCAAAUUUGGAUCUUGUAGAUGGUUGAGUUUCGUAUCGUCCGUAUCUACCGAGGGUUCCACCCGGUGGAUUCAUGCCGGCUUUCAAACUAGAUCGCAGCAAUGAGUGUCUGUU